AUUGAACGCUGGCGGCAGGCCUAACACAUGCAAGUCGAACGAGUGGCGGACGGGUGAGUAAUGUAUGGGAAACUGCCUGAUGGAGGGGGAUAACUACUGGAAACGGUAGCUAAUACCGCAUACCAUCGGAUGUUCCCAAAUGGGAUUAGCUUGUAGGUGGGGUAACGGCUCACCUAGGCGACGAUCCCUAGCUGGUCUUAGAGGAUGAUCAGCCACACUGGAACUGAGACACGGUCCAGACUCCUACGGGAGGCAGCAGUGGGGAAUAUUGCACAAUGGGCGCAAGCCUGAUACAGCCAUGCCGCGUGUAUGAAGAAGGCCUUCGGGUUGUAAAGUACUUUCAGCGGGGAGGCGUUACCCGCAGAAGAAGCACCGGCUAACUCCGUGCCAGCAGCCGCGGUAAUUC
Molecule: ribosomal RNA, 406 nt
Filed under: uncultured bacterium
Lineage: Bacteria
Description: partial 16S ribosomal RNA
Rfam family: Bacterial small subunit ribosomal RNA
Source: RNAcentral